AACGAACGCUGGCGGCAUGCCUAACACAUGCAAGUCGAACGAAGGCUUCGGCCUUAGUGGCGCACGGGUGAGUAACGCGUGGGAAACUGCCUAUUGGUGGGGAAUAACGACGGGAAACUGUCGCUAAUACCGCAUAAGCCCUUCGGGGGAAAGAUUUAUCGCCGAUAGAUGUGCCCGCGUCCGAUUAGCUAGUUGGUGAGGCAAUGGCUCACCAAGGCGACGAUCGGUAGCUGGUCUGAGAGGAUGAUCAGCCGCACUGGGACUGAGACUCGGCCCAGACUCCUACGGGAGGCAGCAGUGGGGAAUAUUGGACAAUGGGCGAAAGCCUGAUCCAGCAAUGCAGCGUGAGUGAUGAAGGCCUUAGGGUUGUAAAGCUCUUUCGGGUGGGACGAUGAUGACGGUACCACCAGAAGAAGCCCCGGCUAACUUCGUGCCAGCCGCCGCAGUAA
This 449-nucleotide ribosomal RNA is filed under the name uncultured bacterium. Its description in RNAcentral is "partial 16S ribosomal RNA". It matches the Rfam family "Bacterial small subunit ribosomal RNA", at positions 29 to 523 of the family's 1533-position model. The record is from RNAcentral.